RNAcentral lists this ribosomal RNA (253 nucleotides) under uncultured bacterium. RNAcentral describes it as "partial 16S ribosomal RNA". It matches the Rfam family "Bacterial small subunit ribosomal RNA", at positions 524 to 776 of the family's 1533-position model. The record is from RNAcentral.
UACGAAGGGGGCUAGCGUUGUUCGGAAUUACUGGGCGUAAAGCGCACGUAGGCGGGUCUGUAAGUAAAGGGUGAAAUCCCAGGGCUCAACCCUGGAACUGCCUUCUAGACUGCAGGCCUCGAGGUCAGGAGAGGCGAGUGGAAUACCGAGUGUAGAGGUGAAAUUCGUAGAUAUUCGGAGGAACACCAGUGGCGAAGGCGGCUCACUGGUCCAUUACUGACGCUGAGGUGCGAAAGCGUGGGGAGCAAACAGG